UACGUAGGCAGCGAGCGUUGUUCGGAGUUACUGGGCGUAAAGGGUGUGUAGGCGGUUGUUUAAGUUUGGUGUGAAAUCUCCCGGCUCAACUGGGAGGUGCGCCGAAUACUGAAUGACUUGGAGUGUGGGAGAGGUGAGUGGAAUUCCUGGUGUAGCGGUGAAAUGCGUAGAUAUCAGGAGGAACACCGGUGGUGUAGACGGCUUCUGGACCGACACUGACGCUGAGACACGAAAGCGUGGGUAGCAAACAGG
RNAcentral lists this ribosomal RNA (252 nucleotides) under uncultured bacterium. RNAcentral describes it as "partial 16S ribosomal RNA". It matches the Rfam family "Bacterial small subunit ribosomal RNA", at positions 524 to 776 of the family's 1533-position model. The record is from RNAcentral.